Molecule: ribosomal RNA, 460 nt
Filed under: uncultured bacterium
Lineage: Bacteria
Description: partial 16S ribosomal RNA
Rfam family: Bacterial small subunit ribosomal RNA
Source: RNAcentral
CCUACGGGAGGCAGCAGUGAGGAAUAUUGGUCAAUGGACGAGAGUCUGAACCAGCCCAGUAGCGUGAAGGAUGACUGCCCUAUGGAUUGUAAACUUCUUUUAUAAAGGAAUAAAACGAGGCACGUGUGCCUUUUUGCAUGUACUUUAUGCAUAAGGAUCGGCUAACUCCGUGCCAGCAGCCGCGGUAAUACGGAGGAUCCGAGCGUUAUCCGGAUUUAUUGGGUUUAAAGGGAGCGUAGAUGGGUUGUUAAGUCAGUUGUGAAAGUUUGCGGCUCAACCGUAAAAUUGCAAUUGAGACUGGGAGUCUUGAGUAUAGUUGAGGUAGGCGGAAUGCGUGGUGUAGCGGUGAAAUGCUUAGAUAUCACGAAGAACCCCGAUUGCGAAGGCAGCUUACUAAACUGUGACUGACAUUGAUGCACGAAAGUGUGGGUAUCAAACAGGAUUAGAUACCCUGGUAGUC